ACCAGCACCAGGCACAUUAUUUACCUGUUCCAGGAGUGCAAGCAAUUUUGUAUUAUAUGUAUAAUAUAAUAUGUAUAAUAUAAUACAAAAUUGCUUGCACUCCUGGAAAAGGUAAAUAAUGUGCCCGGUGCUGGU
Molecule: non-coding RNA, 135 nt
Organism: Pelobates cultripes (western spadefoot toad)
Lineage: Eukaryota; Metazoa; Chordata; Amphibia; Anura; Pelobatidae
Source: the annotation of a GenBank genome assembly